UAGGGAAUCUUCGGCAAUGGGGGCAACCCUGACCGAGCAACGCCGCGUGAGUGAAGAAGGUUUUCGGAUCGUAAAGCUCUGUUGUAAGAGAAGAACGUGUGUGAGAGUGGAAAGUUCACACAGUGACGGUAACUUACCAGAAAGGGACGGCUAACUACGUGCCAGCAGCCGCGGUAAUACGUAGGUCCCGAGCGUUGUCCGGAUUUAUUGGGCGCAAAGCGAGCGCAGGCGGUUUAAUAAGUCUGAAGUUAAAGGCAGUGGCUUAACCAUUGUUCGCUUUGGAAACUGUUAAACUUGAGUGCAGAAGGGGAGAGUGGAAUUCCAUGUGUAGCGGUGAAAUGCGUAGAUAUAUGGAGGAACACCGGUGGCGAAAGCGGCUCUCUGGUCUGUAACUGACGCUGAGGCUCGAAAGCGUGGGGAGCAAACAGG
This 429-nucleotide ribosomal RNA is filed under the name bacterium. Its description in RNAcentral is "partial 16S ribosomal RNA". It matches the Rfam family "Bacterial small subunit ribosomal RNA", at positions 355 to 776 of the family's 1533-position model. The record is from RNAcentral.